RNAcentral lists this ribosomal RNA (477 nucleotides) under uncultured bacterium. Its description in RNAcentral is "partial 16S ribosomal RNA". It matches the Rfam family "Bacterial small subunit ribosomal RNA", at positions 29 to 507 of the family's 1533-position model. The record is from RNAcentral.
AUGCACGCUGGCGGCGUGCUUAACACAUGCCAGUCGAACGAGAAGUGAAGACGGAAACCUUCGGGCGGAAGGCUUUAUUUCGAGUGGCGGACGGGUGAGUAACGCGUGGGUAACCUGCCUCAUACAGGGGGAUAACAGUUGGAAACGACUGUUAAUACCGCAUAAGACCACAGCACCGCAUGGUGCGGGGGUAAAAACUCCGGUGGUAUGAGAUGGACCCGCGUUCGAUUAGCCAGUUGGCGGGGUAACGGCCCACCAAAGCGACGAUCGAUAGCCGAUCUGAGAGGAUGACCGGCCACAGUGGGACUGAGACACGGCCCAAACUCCUACGGGAGGCAGCAGUGGGGAAUAUUGCACAAUGGGGGAAACCCUGAUGCAGCGACGCCGCGUGAGUGAAGAAGUAUUUCGGUAUGUAAAGCUCUAUCAGCAGGGAAGAAAAUGACGGUACCUGAGUAAGAAGCCCCGGCUAACUACGUG